GCUUCCGGCCACACCUCCCUGAACCGCGCCCCGAAUCUGUCUGAUCUCGGAAGCUAAGCAAGGGUCGGGCCCGGUUAGUACUUGGAUGGGAGACCGCCUGGGAAUACCAGGUGCUGUAAGCC
Molecule: ribosomal RNA, 122 nt
Filed under: Esox lucius (northern pike)
Lineage: Eukaryota; Metazoa; Chordata; Actinopteri; Esociformes; Esocidae
Source: RNAcentral